RNAcentral lists this ribosomal RNA (231 nucleotides) under uncultured bacterium. RNAcentral's name for it is "partial 16S ribosomal RNA". It matches the Rfam family "Bacterial small subunit ribosomal RNA", at positions 15 to 245 of the family's 1533-position model. The record is from RNAcentral.
GAUCAUGGCUCAGGAUGAACGCUGGCGGCGUGCAUAACACAUUCAAGUCGAACGGACGAGGGGACUUCGGUCCCUGAGUUAGUGGCGGACGGGUGAGUAACGCGUGAGCAACCUGCCUCUGUGUGCGGGAUAACGUCCGGAAACGGACGCUAAUACCGCAUAACGCAUACUGACCGCAUGAUCGGUAUGCCAAAGAUUCAUUGCGCAGAGAGGGGCUCGCGUCUGAUUAGA